GACGAACGCUGGCGGCGUGCUUAACACAUGCAAGUCGAACGGAAAGGCCCUGCUUUUGUGGGGGGCUCGAGGGGGGAACGGGUGAGUAACACGUGAGUCACCUGCGCUUGGCUUUGGGAUAACUUCAGGAAGCCGGGGCUAAUACCGGAUAGGUGCGCCUGCUGCAUGGUGGGGGUUGGAAAUCUUCGGCGGUAGGGGGUGGACUCGCGGGUUAUCAGCUGGUUGGUGGAGUAGUGGCCUAUCCAGCCAUUGGCGGGUAGCCUGCCUGAGAGGGUGACCGGGCACCAUGGGCCUGAGAUACGGACCAGACGGCUACAGGAGGCAGCGGUCGGGAAUCUUACCCAACCGGCGGAAGCGUGAUGCGGCGGCCCCGCGUGCGUGAAGCAGGCUUUCGGGUGGUAAACCGCAGUCGCCUGAGACGAAGCGGGAGUGACGGUAAUGGGUAAAGAAGCACCGGCUAACUACGUG
Molecule: ribosomal RNA, 468 nt
Filed under: uncultured bacterium
Lineage: Bacteria
Description: partial 16S ribosomal RNA
Rfam family: Bacterial small subunit ribosomal RNA
Source: RNAcentral